This 492-nucleotide ribosomal RNA is filed under the name uncultured bacterium. Its description in RNAcentral is "partial 16S ribosomal RNA". It matches the Rfam family "Bacterial small subunit ribosomal RNA", at positions 29 to 507 of the family's 1533-position model. The record is from RNAcentral.
AGUGAACGCUGGCGGUAGGCCUAACACAUGCAAGUCGAACGGCAGCACAGUAAGAGCUUGCUCUUACGGGUGGCGAGUGGCGGACGGGUGAGGAAUACAUCGGAAUCUACUCUUUCGUGGGGGAUAACGUAGGGAAAGUUACGAUAAUACCGCAUACGACCUACGGGUGAAAGCAGGGGAUCUUCGGACCUUGCGCGAUUGAAUGAGCCGAUGUCGGAUUAGCUAGUUGGCGGGGUAAAGGCCCACCAAGUCGACGAUCCGUAGCUGGUCUGAGAGGAUGAUCAGCCACACUGGAGCUGGAACACGGUCCAGACUCCUACGGGAGGCAGCAGUGGGGAAUAUUGGACAAUGGGCGCAAGCCUGAUCCAGCCAUAGCGCGUGGGUGAAGAAGGCGUUCGGGUUGUAAAGCCCUUUUGUUGGGAAAGAAAAGCAGCAGGUUAAUACCCCGCUGUUCUGACGGUACCCAAAGAAUAAGCACCGGCUAACUUCGUG